This 65-nucleotide transfer RNA is filed under the name Rhipicephalus rutilus. RNAcentral describes it as "tRNA-Asp". The record is from RNAcentral. Lineage: Eukaryota; Metazoa; Arthropoda; Arachnida; Ixodida; Ixodidae.
AAAAACUAGUUAAUAUAUAUAACAAAAGAAUGUCAUUCUUUUAUUACCAAAAAAAGGUGUUUUUU